GAUGAACGCUGGCGGCGUGCCUAAUACAUGCAAGUCGAGCGAACAGACGAGGAGCUUGCUCCUCUGACGUUAGCGGCGGACGGGUGAGUAACACGUGGAUAACCUACCUAUAAGACUGGGAUAACUUCGGGAAACCGGAGCUAAUACCGGAUAAUAUAUUGAACCGCAUGGUUCAAUAGUGAAAGACGGUUUUGCUGUCACUUAUAGAUGUAUCCGCGCCGCAUUAGCUAGUUGGUAAGGUAACGGCUUACCAAGGCAACGAUGCGUAGCCGACCUGAGAGGGUGAUCGGCCACACUGGAACUGAGACACGGUCCAGACUCCUACGGGAGGCAGCAGUAGGGACUCUUCUGCACAGGGCGAAAGCCUGACGGAGCAACGCCGCGUGAGUGAUGAAGGUCUUCGGAUCGUAGAACUCUGUUAUUAGGGAAGAACAAAUGUGUAAGUACCUAGGCACGUCUGGACGGUACCUAAUCAGAAAGGCACGGCUAACUACGUG
This 497-nucleotide ribosomal RNA is filed under the name uncultured bacterium. Its description in RNAcentral is "partial 16S ribosomal RNA". It matches the Rfam family "Bacterial small subunit ribosomal RNA", at positions 28 to 507 of the family's 1533-position model. The record is from RNAcentral.